Pogonomyrmex barbatus (red harvester ant) is the source of this 2118-nucleotide long non-coding RNA. The record is from RefSeq and is a predicted model, not a curated record. Lineage: Eukaryota; Metazoa; Arthropoda; Insecta; Hymenoptera; Formicidae.
GAUUUAUAAACUAACUAUGCACACGGCGCAAGAGAGAGAACGCGGGAGACUUACACGCUAACUAUAUACAAUAUAUACAGUUCAAGCGAGGGUGGUCGUGCGCGCGCACGCGCAAGUACGCUACCAACGUCGGGAGCACCCUGGGUUCGGAGAGGUAGCACCCUUCUCCGUGAUCCCGUCUGGAAAGGAAGGCUCGGAGGAAGUCUCGGUCGAGGCUCGGGAGCACUCUGAGUUAUUUUGCUCGAGACGGGACCUGAUGCCGACUCGUCCGGCGAGCCGGCUUAUAUACCGCUCUGGCUGCUCUUACCUUUCAAUUUUCUCGGUGGGAAGUGGGUUUCCCCACGGUGGGGAUUACACGGGUAGAGGCACUCUAAGAGCGCCGGACUGGUGAUGAUUAUUGAGAACAAUAUUAAAAAAUAUUAAUUCAAAUAAACCUCUAAUAUUGCGUUCUGAUAUCAUUAGCAACAGCUAUAAAAGGUUUGCAAAUGGUAAAUUUGGUAUACAAACGGUUAAUGAUAAUUAGAAAAUCUUUCUACGAUUCUAAGAUACUGACAAAGUGAUACAACAAAGCUCUCAUGAUAUAAGUAUGAGGAACAAAAUAAACACAUUAGUAUCUGAUGAGUCUUUUGUUUCAUAUUUAUAUCAUACAGGUUAUCAAAGAAAUAUUCAGAUAAAUAUAAACGGUUUUUCAGGAAAAGCAAACAAAACCAUAAUAUGUGAUAAUUCAAAUAACAAUAAGAUUAAUAUCUCCAACUUAAAAAAUAAUUCUCAGAAAAACAUAUCUAACGAUGACAAAUGAUGUCUCUAAACAUUAAAACUUUUAGCAAGAUAUACUUAUAUCAUAUGAGAAUGGAAGGAACCAUGAAAUUUAUAUGGGCAGUAAAGAUUGUGAUACUCAAGAAAAUGAUGAAAUUCCAGAAAAUUAUUUUACGUGUUUGAUGUUGACACAACAUUUAAAGAUUUGCUUAAUCCGAAUGAAAAUAUUGAUACUGAAAACGAACAUAUGAAAAUCUUAAUUUCUUCUACAUAUAAUUGUUCUAUAUCUGAUAAUAUGAAGAAAUGUUAGAGAAUUAAUAUUUAAUUCUAUUGAAGAGCUAUCAGAAGACAUAAGAGAUAUACACGUAUGUUAUCUGCAGAUGUAGGAGAUAUACCUGUGUUAUAUCAGCAGCAUACUGUCAAUGAUAUGAUAUUUUAUGAUAACAAGAAAGAAUGUAGCGAUGAAGAAUAUGUAUCUGCAGAACGAAGUUUUUCACAUAAUAGUGAAUCUCCACAAAAUAAUAUUUCAAAUAAUGGCAUCCGCUUCUAGUUUCAAUGAAUCGCAAAUUAAUACAGUUAGUUCAUGCAAUGACGAAUUAAUGUAUGUUAAAAACUAAAAAAGAAUCGACUAAAUGAAACUGCUGUAUUUUCUGUAUAAAGUUGCAAUCACAACUCGCAUGACAUUUGCAAACUGUACAUUAUGAUGAACCUGAUGUUAAACAAUUUAUCAUUCUACUAAAACGAAAUCCGGAAAGAAGAAAGAUAAUAAAUACUCUACGAAAUAUGGGUAAUUUCAAAUAUAAUACCAAUUCUGACUUUAAUAUUGGACAACUUAUCGUGUGUAGAUGUCCGAAUGAAAAAGUUAAUAAAGUUGCAACUGACUUUACUGCUUGUCUAAAGUGUAAAGGUUUUUUCAUCAAAAUUGCAGUACGACAUCACGCUCGAAAAUGUUUUGAAAAAGAUUCUCGAAAGAAUCAAAAUGUUGUAGCUAUUGGAGGAAAAAUUGCAGAUACAAUACAUCAACUAGCAAAUGAGACUUUAAAGAAUACAGUAUUUCCAGUAAUGCGAGAUGAUAUAGUAACAUGUAUUGUGAGAUAUGAUGAAUUAUUAAUCAUAUAUGCUAAUAAGUUAUGUGUCAAAUAUAAAUCCCAACCAGCACGAUAUGAUAAGGGCAUGUUUAUGCGUUUACAUCUUAAUAAAUUGAUCAAUUUAUUUGAUUAAUUCCUUACUCAGCGAAAUUCUUAUUGCUAAAAAUCAUCCCAAGAAUCAGCCAAGAAUCGAGCUUGGAUCACUUACUUUCCUUCGUAUGAGUGUUUUAACCAUUCGAUAACAUGUGCAAUAUUUACCACAAUAACCAGAUAA